Molecule: ribosomal RNA, 412 nt
Filed under: uncultured bacterium
Lineage: Bacteria
Description: bacterial SSU rRNA
Rfam family: Bacterial small subunit ribosomal RNA
Source: RNAcentral
GUGCAGCCGCCGCGGUAAUACGGAGGGUGCGAGCGUUAAUCGGAAUUACUGGGCGUAAAGGGCGCGUAGGCGGUCGCGCAAGUCGGGUGUGAAAGCCCCGGGCUCAACCUGGGAAUUGCAUUCGAUACUGCGUAACUAGAGUCUGGUAGAGGGAAGCGGAAUUCCGCAUGUAGCGGUGAAAUGCGUAGAUAUGCGGAGGAACACCAGUGGCGAAGGCGGCUUCCUGGACCAAGACUGACGCUGAGGCGCGAAAGCGUGGGGAGCAAACAGGAUUAGAUACCCUGGUAGUCCACGCCCUAAACGAUGAGGACUAGACGUUGGGGGGAUAAAACCCGUUAGUGUCGCAGCUAACGCGUGAAGUCCUCCGCCUGGGGAGUACGGCCGCAAGGUUGAAACUCAAGGGAAUUGACGG